Episyrphus balteatus (marmalade hoverfly) is the source of this 1752-nucleotide long non-coding RNA. RefSeq lists it as uncharacterized. The transcript has 5 exons. The record is from RefSeq and is a predicted model, not a curated record. Lineage: Eukaryota; Metazoa; Arthropoda; Insecta; Diptera; Syrphidae.
UUGUCACAAAAAAAAAAAAAACAAUUUAAUUAUUUACAAAAAUUGUUCAAGGAAUUUUUUGUUUCCCAAGAAUAAAAAGACGUCCCCGACCCAAAAACAAAACCAACACAAUUCCUUGACAUUCAUUUGGAAUCCCUACAUGAAAUUGGACCUUGGAACCUAAAGAAGCAGAGCUAUAGAGCAUCGCCGACAAGAAGAUGUCUUAAAACGUUACAGCUCAAAGAAGGAAUCGAUUUGCAAACAUAGCUGAGACUGCGCUCGCUAAAGAAAGAUUUCAGAAUGAAGGCUAGAUAGCUUUAGAAGGUAACUCACUUGUGAAGCUCUUCAAUAGGAAAAUGCGAUCACGAAAAAGUUUGAACCCCCCAAACCAGACCUCAAUUGAAGACUUUUCAAGCUCUCCAGAGAAGACAUCAGUACAGAUGAAAAGAUGCCAGCAAAAGGAGAGAUCUCAGAACAAGAAAGCAAUUGUGUUGGGGAGAACUCAUGGAGUCAACCGCUUUACAAUGAAUUUGCGGUACGCUUCCCGAAUCCAUAUCAAAUCACAAGGCAAAUCACGAGAGCUGGAGUCAAGAUCAUUACUUUCGCCCUCAGGAUUUAAGUUCAUCUGUUGAAACAAAAAAUUUCCCCUUGCGAGCAACGGAAGAACCGUCACACUUCCAUCAACAUCAAAGCGAAAGAACGAGAAGUUAUCACAAAAGUGCCUCCCAAAAAGAACUUCCAGUGCACCCACUGCAACACACACUUCCCACUGCUUAAAGAGAAGAACGCACAUAUGAUUAAACAACACGGUUAUUAUAAGCGUGUUAACCGUCGACCGAUGCGUGACCCACCGACAUCAACUUUAACCACAGCAACUCUGAAUGCAGUUGAUCCCGCUGCUGGAGCUGCUCCUUUGUUACUCGGCUUGGAUGGACUUGCACCACCAUCCCUGCCAACUGGCGAAGAAGAUGAAGACUCCAAAGCGACAAUUGUUAAAAUCGAAAAAGAAAACCAAGAUUGCAAGAAUAAAAAUCUAUCGAACUUGGCCAUAAGUAGCAACAAAGUAACAUCUUCGUCAACAGCGGCGACAAAUUGUGUGCAUCACGCACCAAAUAUGACUCGAUGAGGCCACCAGAUAAUCAAAUGCUUAUCAAUUUCAAUUUGAGUGCACUGAAUGUAAAAAAUGAAGGCGAAUUUUGCUGCUUUGUAUGCAAGCGGGACUUUCUUAUUGUUAAGCUUUUUGAUUAGCAUUUUGUUGAGCAUGAGCAUCCCACCGAAUGUUUUACAUGACACAAGAAAUUCACCAGAUGGAAAAACUUUAUGGUCCAUUUGAAGCGACAUUUGGGUUGGAAGGAUUUCUCAUGUACAUAAUGUGAAAAGAAAUUUGUUAUACGUAGCGCUCUGGUGGAACACAUACGAAUGCAUACCGGCCAGACACCAUUGAAAUGUAAAAUUUGUGGCAAGAGCUUCAAACGUUAUUCGAAUAUGGUUUAAAAUAAGAACUGUGAGUGAGAAUGUAAACAAAAUGGAUAGUAGCUGCGUUCCUUUGGAAAUAUUUAUCUACUUUUUAGUACUUAAAGCUGCUUUGAACUACUUUUUCAGUAUAGCAAAGUAGAUCAAAGUAGUUUUAAGUACUAAAAAGUAGAUAAAUAUUUCCAAAGGAACGCAGCUAGUGUUUGAAUAAUUUUUUUUGUGGUCUUAGUUUUUUAUAUCUUGUAAACCCAAAGACUUAAUGAAAAAUAAAAUGGAAUAUUUGGAAAAUUCUGUGAUUAU